CACUGGGCUAGCUGCAGGUAUUGCUGCUAAAGCCUCUGCACCUUCCAGGGGGCUGUGGUGCUGGCCAGGAGGGAAGUUGCAGGAUCUGCCUGCUUUGUUGUCAAUGGCUUUCCAGUGGACCCUACCUGGGGAAGACCUGUUCAGAUGUGGAAGUGCCAACGUGUCUAUUUACCGCCAGAGUCAGCCCCUUUUUAGAAGCUUUGACUACGCCGUUUGCUUCAAAGCCUUGUUCGAUGCAAGCAUGCCCGCCGCGUGGCUGUUUUAAAGGCAUGUGUACUAGCAACCUGCGCUUUGGAAAUCUCCUACCAGACGUUGGAGCUUUUCACUUUGUUCCUGCCGUAAGACUGUCAUUUGAGGAGGAGCUAUCAGGAGGCUGAAUCUGAUGCGUUUCAGCUUAAGCAUGAUCUUCUGAUGUGGAAUUUCCUCUGGAUCUGAAGUAUCACUCGGACAAAAAUUCCACCGCCUCGUUCCCAAGAUAUGAAAUGGAAAAUAAGAAUCAGUGCUUGUGCUUCAUCCAGCAAGAUCUGGUGUUGCAGAACAGGCAGCCGGUCGACAGAAGGAGCACGCACAGCUUCCAUUUUAAGUCAAGCCCUGAGCGAAUUCUGCGCCUGCUUACGCUGGUGUAAACCUAGAGAGUGCAUAGGAGUUGGUCCGAUUUGGCUCCGGUGCCUCCGAAUAGGAUCGGGCUCUUCAGUGUCAAGUCUCGAGGAAUGAAUGGGAUCUAGUGAAGGCUCCCAACUUAUUUGGUUUCUGGGGGUGUCAUGUCUACUAAGCAUCCCACCGCACCUCCCUGGCUUGGACCUUGGCACCCAAAAUCCUCCAAGUACGCAGCAGGCCUGGAUCUGUGCAGUAUCCGAGGAGACUUAGGAGCCUUCUUGCCGGAUCAGCUAGUCUCACCCCAACGGACCGAAUGGGAAUUUAGCUGGCUUGUGCACGCAGUUGUGCAUGCAGUCUAGCACAGCAGUUGUUUUAGUCUAUAGACACCAAUAUAUUCUCACAGGACAAUGAAUGCUUUCACUUUGCAUCCUACCUGGUCGUCCACUCAUCUCACUGCC
Molecule: long non-coding RNA, 1055 nt
Organism: Alligator sinensis (Chinese alligator)
Lineage: Eukaryota; Metazoa; Chordata; Crocodylia; Alligatoridae
Exons: 4
Source: RefSeq, a predicted model, not a curated record